Molecule: long non-coding RNA, 12619 nt
Organism: Orcinus orca (killer whale)
Lineage: Eukaryota; Metazoa; Chordata; Mammalia; Artiodactyla; Delphinidae
Exons: 5
Source: RefSeq, a predicted model, not a curated record
CUCCCGUGAUAAUGGAGACCCAGAAGUCCCACCGUCUGCCAUCUACAAGCUGGAAACCCCUUCCUACUUGCUCACCUGCAGAAGAGAGAACUGGAAGUGACUGAUCCGUGUCCCAGGAUACUUCGCAGCUGGGGUUGUGCCCUGAGCCAGAUUCCUCCAGGUGAAGAACAUAAGAGAAAAAGGAAUUUGAGGUCCUCCAGAGAAGAAGGAAUUCUGCCUGAGUUUCCAGCUUGCUGCCCUGAUGACACUUGGACGUACGACUGAAACAUCAACUCUUACUGAAUUUCCAGGCUGCUGGCCUGCCCUGGGGAUUUUGGACUUGCCAGCCCUAAAAUCAUGAUCCUGCCCUAGACUCGCCCCGCCGGCAUACAUCGCUUCUCUGGGCCUCCACGGUACCCAGGGUGACCCGCCCCCAACCCCCAAUGGACUGAAGCUAUGCCCACGGGCAAUGAGCCAACCCAGUGAGGCAUGAGGAAGAUUGGAACCAUCUGGAGAGGAAAUCUCCAUGAGUCUCUCUCUCUUGUGUUUUUUUUUUUUUUUUAAUUUUUAUGGGAGUAGAGUUGCUUUACCAUACUGUGUUAGUUUCUGCUGUACAGCAAAGUGAAUCAGCUCUACGUACACGUAUAUCCCCUCUUUUUUGGAUCCCCUUCCCAUUUAAGUCACCACACAGCGGUGAGUAGAGUUCCCUGUGCUACACAGUAGGUUCUCAUUCAUGAUCUAUUUUAUACAUAGUGCCAAUGGCGGAUAUAUGAGAGGUUGGGGUUGACAUGUAUACUCUGUGAUUCUCUCUAAAUAGCCUGGGUUCGGAAGAAAUGGAAGCUUGGCUAGCGGGUGGCAGGACCCCCGUGGUAGCAUGGCCGUGGGGUAUGCAGACUGGACAGCCAACACCUGUAGGCAUCUGAUGACACCUACAGUGGAUACAUCAAACAGGGUGGGUUGUCCACGGCUUAGACGGCUCCUUCUACCAGAAGCUCCCAGGCGUGUCUGAUUGGAGCUGAAUCAUGACAAGCCAGAGUUGAACUUGCUGGGAUAAGAGCCUGGAACCAGACAUCACUGUCUCUGUGGAGAUCUAGGGGAGCAGCAGGGACCACCCUCCUUGGCCACUAGUUCUGGCAUCAUGGAACCCAACUUGUCUUCUGAGAACAGAUGGGCUCCAUGGGGAACAGGUGAACCACUGAGAAAUGCAUGAAAGAUUCUCACAGCCGUUGACAAAGAGGAUAAAUCCAGGACGAAGAUGGUGGUCGACCUCUCUCUAAAAGAGAACACCCGACCUGGGCACAUUACCUUAUUUGUGGUGUUUUCCACCUUCUGAUCAUUUAGAGCAGCUCGGGGAUAGGAUGGCUUUGUUCUAAUCAUUUGAGAACUUGGGCUUACACUCUCCACCCCCCGACCCCGUUCUAAAAAAAAAAAUCCUCCAAAUCUCUUCUUACCCUCCAGUUUUCCCCUUCUGAGAAUGGUCCCACUGUAGUUGAACCUUGAACCACGUGGAGGUUCAGAGCACCAAAAAUUUGAGUAUAACUUAGAGUCAGCACUCGGUGUCCAUGGUUCCUCCAUAUACAAGGGUUCAUCUAGCUUUGGAUCGUGUGGUACUGUCGUACAUACUUAGUGGAAAAAAUGUGCUUAGAAGUGGACCCACGCCGUCCAAACCUGUGUUGCCCAAGGGUCAGCUGUAUAUAUACAUAAUGAUUCAAGUCAAAAUCUGCAAGUGGGUGCUCUAACGUGGUGUUCUCAGACUUUAACGUGUUCGCAUGUGAGUCUGACAUAGUAGGUCCGAGGCGAGACUUGAGAACAUCCAUUCAUGGCGGGCACCCAGGUGAUGCAGAUGCCGGUGGCCCAUGUGUUGAGCGGGAAGGGUCUAGAGACGUAUCCCAGUGGCCCAACAUAGUAGCCAGUAGUCAUCCCUGCCUAACUAAAUGUAAAUGAUUUAAAAUAAAAGACAACUUCAAACCUUACUUCCUUGGUCAUACUAGCCACGUUUCAAGCUAGUGCUGGGUAGCCGCCAUGUUGGAUGACACAGCGUAGAACGUUAUUCCAGCACUGCAGAAACUUCUGCAGGACUGUGUUCGUCUAGAGGCUGGCUAUCACCAAGGAACAUCUAGUUACAAUAAGGCUAAUGGGUUUUUAACCUUUGGAAUUUUUUUUUGAUUUGAAGAUGUGAAGGGGCAUGAGUGAAUACUCACAUAAAAUUCUGUAUACCAGCGUAAAGCCCUUCAUAAUCAGGGCACAAAUAUACAUCCCUCAGAACAUGGGGCUCCCUAGAUAUUCUAAAAAGCCCUGAUAUGAAAGAGCUAAAUCCUGAAAAAUGUCCCAAAUUUCUAAAUAUGUUUGUUACACAUACUCCUAUACCCCCCAUGUAGGGUAGCUGUAGAAGUCUACAGCUAUUUAUUUACACGUAUCUGCAUAUUCUCAUCUUUUCUUACAAUUAUUUCACAUUCUCUAGGUGAGCGAAAGACAAGAAGAUUCGGGCUUCCCGGAAGCGGAAUCACGCAGGUGUUCCUACUUGAGGCGAUUUCUUCCCGGCGAUGAGUGAGAGAUCCAGGUUCCUGGCCAAAGUGGUCCUCUGCCAUCAUCAACACCUGCCUCCCAAGAUACUGAAACCCCAGCAGGUGGGAGAAGUUAACUGCAUGCUGCCCACCGGCACGCAGACCCAGACCCGUUGGAACCAGAAGGUCAAUGAUGCUGACUUCGAUGACCUCACCACCAACCAAUGAGAAGAGUGCCCAUGAGCUGACCACGCCCUCUUUGAACCAUCGCUGUAACACUCCUCACAACCACCUCCAGGUUGGGACACAGUUUUCUGUGUUUUGUUUAAUAUUUAUUUAUUUAUUUUUGGCUGCAUUGGGUCUUUGUUGCUGCGCGCGGGCUUUCUCUAGUUGUGGCGAGCUGUGGCUACUCUUCGUUGCGGUGCGCGGGCUUCUCAUUGCGGUGGCUUCUCUUGUUGCGGAGCACGGGCUCUAGGCACGCGGGCUUCAGUAGUUGUGGCUCACGGGCUCAGUAGUUGUGGUGCAUUGGCUCAGUAGUUGCACCUUGCAGGCUCUAGAGCUCAGGCUCGGUAGUUGUGGCACGUGGGCUUCAGUAGUUGCGGCUCACAGGCUCUGCAGCGCAGGCUCAGUAGUUGUGGCGCACGGGCUGAGUGGCUCCGCGGCAUGUGGGAUCUUCCCGGACCAGGGCUCGAACCCAUGUCCCCUGGAUUGGCAGGCGGAUUCUUAACCGCUGUGCCCCCAGGGAAGUCCCUGGGACACACAGUUUUGAGGGCAUUAGCCCACUGUGGCCCCCUUUGCCUGGCAAAGCAAUAAAGCUCUUCUCUUCUGCUUCACCCCAAACUUGGUCUCCAAAAAUUAAUUUGGUGUCAGGGCACGGAGGCCAGAUUCGGCUUCAGUAGGAAACAUCCCAUCCACCAGCAAUGAUGUCCACUUGCGCCAACCAGUGGGAAAUGAAAUACUGGCUGUUGGAAGCCGGAUGUUUUCUCUCAAACCACCUCUGUGGACCAGAAGGAUCGGCUGAGAGAUCUUAGGAGCAAAAAGGUGCAACUCAAUCUUUCUGCCGUAAGAUGGGUGCGUGCGUCAUUUUAUCAGAGGUAGAGAUCCAUCUUUAAGGCAGUCACAGCUUUGCAAAUGUUCAGCUCCAUGCUGCUGGCUGAAGAAGAGGUCGCUCAUCCUCUUCCAUGAAAUCAGCCACUGCAACCAAGCUAACGGAAAGGCUGCGGUGGAAAGAAUCUUUGGGCUGCUGUGGCAUUUCUGGCAUGCCAGCCCUCCUGUGUGUAUUGCAUAUUUUGCAGGGAUGCCUUUGGCUCCCUUUGGAAAAGGGAGAGACAAAAUUCCCUUCAGUUAGCUGGGAAUCUGGCUGUCCACAGAAAACACAGACGUUUGUGCGAAAGACAGAAACCAUCCCACGACAUUCAGGCAAUACUUCCUCCCCAAAGACUUUAUUUUCAGAACCAGAUCUUUUAUCGGGGGGCUGGGGUGGGGGGCGGAGGGCGCCGUGUAGCUUGCGGGAUCUUAAUUCCCUGACCAAACCUGGGCGCACAGCAGUGAAAGUGCUGAGUCCUAACCGCUGGACCACCGGGAAUUCCCUAGGACUGAAUCUUCUAUAAUUUCCUUGUUGCAAUCAGAAGCUCAAUGUCAAAGUGGUAUCAGCUGCUCUACCUCACAGAGCAGUGGAGAGAAGGGAAGUCUUAUUUAAAUAACACAUGUGGUCAGGGACGUGACCUGGCCUGGCUGAAACUCGUACCAGAUGCCGCCGUGUUAUACGAUACAGGAAACACAGGGUCCUUUUUUGGUUUUGUCCUAAACUGUAUGCAUGGAUUUAAUGUGAUAUGUGUUAGAAGGUGUAUAUAUAUAAACAUAUUGGCUCGUACGUAUUAGAAGAAUUGUGGCAGUGUGCUCAUGUUCACAUCAGGACUUGUUAAAAUGCAUUAGUGCUCCUUCAGUAAUACACUGCACUCUCAAAUAGCCAACAAAAUUAGGAUACUCUGUAGUUUAUGGUCAUGAACAUGAUGUUGCCUCAAUAUUUAACCAAGGGCAAACGCGUGCAAAACCCUGUGCCUGAAAGACAUUUCAGUUACAAAAUAAACGAGUCAAGAGUGUGAAAAGUGCAGUGUGGCGAAUGUAGUCAAUGACUAUGUGAUAACUUUGUGUGGUGACAUCAUAACAAGACUUAGCAUGGUGACCAUUUUGAAAUGUUUAGAAAUAUUGAAUCACUGUGUUGUGUACCAGGAAUAACAUACUGUCGUAAGUCAAUUAUACUUCAAAAACCCAUAGAAAAAAAUCGGAUGAAGGAAGUCAAAAGGUACAGUUAUAAGAUAAAUAAGUUAUAAGAUAAGAUAAAUAAGUACUGUGGUUGUGAUGUACAACAUGAAAAGUAGAAUGAACACCUGCUGGGUCUUCUGUAUGAAAGGUGUAAAGAUAGUCGAUCCUAAGAGUUCUCAUCACAAAACGGAAUUUUUUUCUAUAUCUUUAAUUUCGUAUCUAUAGGAGAUGAUGGGUGUUCACUAAACUUGUGAUAAUUAUUUCACGGUGUAUGUAAGUGAAAUCAUUGUGCUGUACACCUUACAGUUAUACAGUGCUGUGUGUCAGUUAUAUCUCAAUAAAACAGGAAGAAGAAAAAAAUGCUAAUUGGAGUAGAUUUUUCUUACAGGGAAAUGUAAGUCAUUAAACUGCUUCCCCAAGAAAAGUGAUAUGAAAAUAGAAUUUCAGAGACAAAAAAAAAAUGAAGAACUUCUGACCUGUUAAAAUGAGCUUGUUCAAGUAUUUUUAUAUGCAUUAUGGUGGGAAUCCAAAUGGAUCCAUUUCAAAGACUGAUGAAAUUUUCAUGUCAAUGUUCACAAUUUUCUGUAAACUGUAUAUUUUACAACUAUUGAGACAUGAUGAGGAAUUUUAGAGGUCAACAAAAAUUUCUGAGAAGGGAUAUAAGGUUUCAAAAUUUACUUAAGACUACUGAUUUAGAAUCAACCAAAAUAAUGUGAAACUUGGUCCUAAUUUAACAGCAUGAAUUUUACAUAAGAGAUAUUUUUGUUUUUAGCUAAAAGAAGGAGCUUCUGAGCACUCUCAUAUCCUAUUCAACUACAGUUGUUUUUGGUUUUUUUUUUUGCGGUACACGGGCCUCUCACUGUUGUGGCCUCUCCCGUUGCGGAGCGUAGGCUCUGGACGCGCAGGCUCAGCGGCCAUGGCUCACGGGCCCAGCCGCUCCGCGGCAUGUGGGAUCCUCCCGGACCAGGGCACGAACCCGUGUCCCCUGCAUCGGCAGGCAGACUCUCAACCACUGCGCCACCAGGGAAGCCCCAGUUGUUUUUUAAAUUGUACGUUAUGUAUGUAACUGUGAGACAAUUUAGCAGAAUAGUAAAAGAAGGAAACCUUGUUUUACUAAACUUAGCAGAAAAUGGAUAUGGUUUAACUUUAUUAUUAUGUCUAAGGCUAAUUAAUUAGAACUGAAAAAAAAAUUGCUUCCCCAAGAAGGGGCAGGGUUACGGAACAGAAGAAACAGAGAGGAGAGAAAAGGUGGAAGAAAAAAUUCACUUGAUUUACAAGGGUUUAAGGCAAGAAAACUGGGGGAGUCCCACAAUGGACUAGAGAGAUUGCAUCUUGCCAGUGGCUGGUUAGAAGCCACCUUGGCUUGGAUCACCUGUCCUUUUGUCAAAGGUGAGGAGGAAACAGCUCAGGGAGCGAACUGUUCUGCUUGAGUGUGUCUAAUGUUAUUUUCAGGUAAGCAGACUCAGCUUGCAUGGAGAGACCAUGAGCUGGAUUCCAGGAAAGGCCCAAGAAGAGUCCACAUUUCUCUUAGGAUGUGCCCGGGAGAGCCUCCCCAAGCCUGGAAAUACUUAACCAUCCCUUGCUUCCUUGAGAAAAGUCAGAAAGGAUUAUUGAAACAGAUUGGAAUGUUGAACCGAACUUAUAAGUGUUCCUAAGCUGUGUUCAUUAACCAAAAAGGAUGCUGAAACAGGAAAAACAAUGAACCUGGGAACGUAGCUAUGAUUAUACCCCUCCACCCCCAAAGGGGAAAGGAGCUGUGAAUAUUUAAGAGAACAGAAUAUGUUGGUCAUUGACAACGAAGAAAAUAAGAGAGAAACCGUCCAAGGAAAAUACUUUAAAGGUAAUCUUCUUGGAGGGCUGAAAGAAAAGAUGCCAAAAAAAAUAAUAAUCAAACCAAGAACUCUUAUCAGUUAUGAUGUCAGGUCUUUGGGUGACUGUGAAAUGCAUUUCUUCAUCAGAUGAAGACAGGGCUUGGAAUUCAACACAUCUAUUGCACAAAUACGGUUUGACCACCCAGUGCAUAUACGUCAGUGUGGGCAGAAAUUUAGUAAAAAUGGAAAUGUGACCUGUAGGAACGGGAAGGAUUCCAUGGAUGCCUAAAUCAUAUUGAGAGUGUGAUGCCUCCUACUUCCUACUUGGAGAAAGGAGAUAGCUUUAAGGUGAGAUAGUGAUUCAUUUUCGCAGGCAAAAUCCUGCAAGGACUCAUAAAAGGUAGGUGGUAGACCAGAUAUCCCAGUUGGUUCUGCCCAUGGAGACUGUACAGAUUAUGAUUUUCGAGCAGGAACAGCUCCUUACCUGUUAUCAGUGCCAUCAGGGAAAGGAAGAGAAUAGGGAAUCCGAUGAAUGUCAAGGGAAAACUCUAGAGGUGGAAGAUUUGAAUUCCAGUUGCUGCCGAGUGCAUCACAACUCUUCAGAUGCAAUUGGACAGAGAGAAAUUACGAAGUAAAUUGCUGUGAUGAUCUCACAUUCAGAGGUUACUCAAAUUACCCAAAAUGACAUGACAGGGACAAAAUUGGGAGUAGAUCUGGAGUUAAGGUCUGGCAGAGAGGUUUUUCUCAUGAAAGCCUGGAGACUCCUGUGCAUUGGGAGCCCAAGAUCCCCACACCAACCCCAAGAGCUCAAUGUAAGUGCAAAGAUUUUCAAGUAUGAGAUGAGGAACUUCCAAGAAAAGUUUCCCGUGGGGGAAGAAAAUGCACUUUGGAGGAGAUGGAUUUCCCUGGAAAUGUUUCUGUUAGGAGGGCAGUCAGAUGUCGAUUCAUCAAACGUCAAACUAGGUCCUUUUGUGUAUUCUGAGUCAGAAGCAUGCCCCACGAUUUUCCUAGAGAGUAAAAGGCAUGGUUUUCAACUCAGCCCCGUCGGAGGAGUUUAAAGCACUCUUAUUUGAAAGUCACUCCUCUGGUCCCAGGGAAAUUCUGAAGCUGAGUUUCCUUCCUCUGAUUGUUAGAGAAAUUAUAUUUGGUGGGUAUAAACUGGAAGUCAUGACAAUUCAGGCAUUGUUUCUCUGUAACCGUUAGAUGUAUAUUUUAACAUGUAUUUUUUUCCCCUCCAUGUGUUGGUUUAAAUAUAGUUGUUUGUUCUAAAGUUGGUGGUAGCUUGAAGGUAACUCACAGACUUGCUGCAUCCGGCAUGGGAAGCAGUCCUCCCCUGCACGCACAGAGAAGGUCAUCCUUUUCCUGGCACUCAGUCCUGAACGGUACUCCAGGUGUGUGUCAGGGACAGAGCCGAUGGAACAGAGAAAACAGUUGGAGGUUCAGGGAGGCAUCUGCUCCUCAGAUAUGUUGGGUCAUAAUCAGCUUGAUGCAUACCAGUGACCAGAGGGUUCAAGGGGGCAGUACCUUGAACGUCAGUUACUGCCCUUUCAGAAAGCUCGUAGGACACAUCCUGGGGGGCGUAGCCAUUUAGUGUCCCCCUUCAGAAAAGUAGGGCUGUGGGCUGGAGUGUCCAGCCCUCUUCCUGCACACCUGGGAGAUGCUUUAGGGUUGACCCCCACCAUUCUUUGAAAUCAUCCAUAACUCACACUUCAAAGUGCUUAACCCAAAUGAAAUCUGUGCGUGUGGAAGCUCUAACUGACUACAUACUGAAGCAGUUUCCAUAGUAGGUGUGAAUAGAUGUAUGACUGAUAGAUGAUAGCUAGAUGGAUAGAUGAUAGAUAAAUAAAUGAUAAAUGAUUGAUGACAGAUAAUGAAAAGAUGAUAGAGAUAGAUGAUAGAUAAACAAGUAGAUGAUAGAUAUAGAUAGAUGAAAUAGAGAGAUAGGUAUAGAUAGAUUGUUUAUAGAUACAUGACAGGGAUAGAUAAAUAGAAGAUGAUAGGGAUGAUAACUAGAUAGAUGAUAGAUAGAUAUGGAAGGAUAGAUGGAUGAAUACGUAGAUGAAUAGAUGGGUGGAUGAAUGGGUGGAGAGAGAGAGAUGAUGUAUGGAGAGAUAUAUAGAUGCAUAGAUAUGGAUGGAUGGACAGAUAGACAAAUGGAUGAAAAGAGAUGGAUAGAUGGAUGGAUGGAUGUAUAGGUAGAUUAUAUAGAGAGAUAGAGGAUAGAUAGGUAGAUAGAUAGAGGAUAGAUAGAUACUUAGGUAAUAGAUGGAGGGAUGGAUGAUAGAUAAAUGAUAGGUAGAUAGAAAGAUGAUAGAUGAUAAAAAGAUGAUAGAGAUAGAUAAUAGAUAAAUAGAUAGAUGAUAGAUACAGAUAAUGAUAGAUGAAAUAGAGAAAUAGGUAGAGAUAGAUAGUUUAUAGAGACAUGAUAGGGAUAGCUAAACAGAUAAAUAGAAAGAUGAUAGAGAUAAGUAAAUAGGUGAUAGAUAGAUAGAUAGAUAGAUAGAUAGAUGAGAUUUUCUAGGUCUCCACUGUGCUGUUGUGUUAAUUACUUUGGAACCAUGCUCACACUUAUAUUCAAACCAUGCUUAUUAAAAUUCGAGACGUGAGAGCACAAAGGGUCAUGCAAAGUCCUAGGAGGUACAUUAUAUGUAGGGUUACUUUCGUCCAGAACUAAAAGUCCACCACAAAAUGGCAGCACCCAAGUGUCCCCCAACCCCUCUGUCUAUGACUCUGUCCUCCUGCAUCAUUGAUCUGUCAGUGUCAAUUCAAGGAGCAUUUUAUUAGAGAAUCACCCACCACGAUGAACAAAGCACAGCCCUCCCACCCGUGAGAGCAGCAAGUCAAGGGCUGCCAGGGUCCAGGCAGGUGUAAUUAAUUAGAGAAUGUUACCCACCCCAGCACCCACCCAGAGGAAACCAGUGAGAAACAAACUCACGGGUCAUCUGGGCAAAAGCAAACGCUGAAGAAUGUAAAACACAGCCUACACGUGUCCAUAUGUGCUUUCCCUUGCUCCUGAGGGCGGGGGCAGAAACCCACUCCAAACACCAUAGUCAGGGACAAUCAGGGUCUUUGCAAAGCCUCCGUGUCUAGCCAGUGCUCACUCAGUUUUUUGAGGGGCCUAUAACACAAGCGUAUGGUGGGCUACAAAAUCCAUUUGCCCCAGUGAUAGAAAAUUAUAGCGCUAAACACCCAGAGAUGGUAUGUUACUCAGCUCAGGCUGCCAUAAUGUAGUACCACAUAUGGGGGGGCUCUUAAACAGCAGACAUGUAUUUACUCAGUCUUAGAGGCUGGAAGUCUGAGAUCAAAGGGCCACAGUGGUUGGUUUCCGGUGGGGACUCUCUCCUCGGUUUGUAGAUGGCUGCCUUCCUGUUGUGUCUUCAUAUUGUGGAGAAAGAGAGAGAGUGAAGGUAUCUCUUCUUCUAAGGACACUAAUCCUAUUGGAUCAGGGCCUCACACUCAUGACUUCAUUUCACCUUAAUUGCUUCCUUUCUCCAAAUACACCUGUGCUGGGAGUUAGGGCUUCAACCUAUGUAUUUCGGAGGAACUCAAACAGUCCGUAAUAGAUGGAAAUAUACCAUGGUACACCUUCUGUGUGUUGAAAGUGAGAUUCCCCCCCCCCAACCCCUCCAUUAGCCUAACAAAACACUUUGUAAAGUAUUUGUCAGAAGUAAAAAAAAGAAAAAUCAUCCACAUCAGGUCACCCACCUCAAAUUUCUUUUGCAAAUUUUAUUUUCAGUUUCUUUCGUAUGUGGGUUCAAUGCAGAAGGCAGUCCUGUACAUGGUUUUAUUUUCUUUUCAGCUGUUAGUGUCUUUCCAGGCAUGGCAUGUGGGUCAGUGUAGCAGUUUGAACCCAGUAGGAGUUCAAAUUUAAAAAAUCGUUGCUGGGACCUCCAUGGUUGAGACUCUACGCUUCCCCUGCAGGGGGCAUGGGUUCUAUCCCUGGUCGGGGAACUAAGAUCCAAAACAAUUGGUGCCCAUUUGAUUGGGUUUUAACAUGAAGGUUCACAGCGGUGUAUGUGCCUGACUGUGGGAUAAAAGUUGAGUCUGCACAUGUGCUGGACAGAGGUAUCCAUGGUAACCAUCGGUCACGAAUAAGUAGUGGACACUAGCGUUCUUUCCAGGACCACAGUAGGAGCUCGGUUAUGAUGGGGUCAGAUGCCCAGAUUACCAGACUCACUUUUAGACAUACUCAGCGCCGCUUGUGCUGUGUUUUUAUCUGUCAGCUACUCUGAUGGGCUUGCCAGCCUCCUGCCAAGCUGGGAGGAUGGUAGGUGUAGAUUUAGGGUAAACAGGUGAUUCUCUUCAGGGGCUACUGGGUGCCUUUUGAAUACAUGCAUGGUGGUCCUUUAUCCAUCUCCAAGAGUUCUCCAAGCUGAUGUGUGGCCGAGAGAUUAGGUGCACAGAGCUGUCCUUCCGACCACAGGAUGAAGCCGUGAAUCUGGGGCUGGGGUUUGGUUGAGGAGUGGCUGCCCUGAGCUCCUGUUGGAGCCGAGGCCAGCCUCGUCCGCCUGCACGUGGCUAGCACUGGGGGCUGCAUCCUGCAGUCUGCCCGCCUCCUGGAUGUCCUGGUCAGGACCGAAAGGCCAGCCACGAGAACCCUCCCCCGUCUCAGCCACAUCCCAGGCUCUGGCCUGGGUUACCGUCUUUAACCUUUGUGUGUCUGGGUGUCUGAAUGUGUAUGUUUCUGCAUGAGUCUGUAUCUGUGUGUUUGUGUAUGCACAUGUAUUUGUGUGCAUAUGUGUUCGUAUGCAGGCAUGUGUUUAGGUUUGCGUGUACGCAUCUGUGUUUGUACAUGCGUUUGGGUGUAUGUGUACGCAUGCGUUUCUGCAUGACUUUAUGUAUGCAUGUAUGUACGCAUGGGCGGGUGUAUUUACCUGUCUGUGUGUAUCAUCAAAAGCAGUCUUCUCCUUCCCAUCUCCAUUUUUUCCUGCAUUCUGUCUCACUCCCUAAAUGCCGUUCCAAAUAACAAGGAAAAGAACAAGCUCAUUAAAAUGUCCCUCGUUUGUGGAGUGAACUGCACAUCUCAACGGCAUUUGUUAUAAGGUUGGGAACAGAGACUUUUGAAUCCAUCUCCCAGGACAGUUUGAGAGGUUUAUGUUAAGAUAAAUCCUGAGUUCCACCACACCUUCAAACAUAUUUCCAACAGGAAAAAAAAAUAUUUACCCAAAGAAAUGUCUGACAGAUAAAUGAGAACUUACUUCAAUGCCUAGAGACCGUAUCUCAAACUUCAUGUAACAAACACACCCACAGUAAUGUGUUCAUGUAUAAAUAUCACGGAUGGGUGUUGGUAAUGGAUUUCCCUGCAGGACAUUAAGAUUCCGUUGGCUAUCUCUAUGUGCACCCUGGUUAAUCUAGUCUAAAGUGUACACUGUCUCAUGAACACACACACACACACACACACACACACACACACACACACACACACACACACAGAGAAGCGUCCUGAAGCCCAAAUUCAUCACUUCUAUCCAUCAUCCAGCUCAUGGUGACCUCUGAGAAAGAUAAGAAACACGCACUAGGCACUUCCAAAUUUUACAUAUGGUUAAACUCAGAGCCAGGAGAUACGUGGAUAGCUUUGUCCCACGGAUAAUAUAACUUUGAAUCAUGCUCUCCUUGCAGAGAGAGAUUUUGGGGUAAUGCAGGUCAGGUCUACAGGAGCAGAAGAAAGAAAAAAAAAAAAAACGCAUCAUGGUGACAAUUAUUGUGAGCGUAGCACCUAGUCAGUGAGAGCCACAGAGGAUGUGGGAACAGAAAAACCAUCCCUAAAAAUCACAAGACAGGAAUGCACCCUUGCCCGGGGCGGAUGGUGGAGGCAGACAGCUCAGGUAUUAGACACGGCAGCGCCAAGAUUUAUCAUGUUGGAGGAGGUUUGUGCUCAGCUCCGUACCUCUGGGCAGACAGCUGCGCCUUAGCCCUUCCAGGGGAGGUGAUGUAAUGGGUCCUGGAAAAGGCAGGCGAGGGCUGAGUGGUGUCUGCAGAAAGUUGGGAGGAGACCUCAGCCCCUUUUUCGGCUUUAUCUAUCACCUUCCUUUCCAAAAGCCCUCCCCCGGGGCGUUUGCG